AGAGUUUGAUCCUGGCUCAGGACGAACGCUGGCGGCGUGCUUAACACAUGCAAGUCGAACGAUGAAGCCUUCGGGUGGAUUAGUGGCGAACGGGUGAGUAACACGUGGGAAAUCUGCCCUGAACUCUGGGACAAGCCUUGGAAACGAGGUCUAAUACCGGAUAUGACCCGUCCCCGCAUGGGGGUGGGUGGAAAGCUCCGGCGGUUCAGGAUGAUCCCGCGGCCUAUCAGCUUGUUGGUGGGGUAAUGGCCUACCAAGGCGACGACGGGUAGCCGGCCUGAGAGGGCGACCGGCCACACUGGGACUGAGACACGGCCCAGACUCCUACGGGAGGCAGCAGUGGGGAAUAUUGCACAAUGGGCGAAAGCCUGAUGCAGCGACGCCGCGUGAGGGAUGAAGGCCUUCGGGUCGUAAACCUCUUUCAGCAGGGAAGAAGCGCAAGUGACGGUACCUGCAGAAGAAGCACCGGCUAACUACGUGCCAGCAGCCGCGGUAAUACGUAGGGUGCGAGCGUUGUCCGGAAUUAUUGGGCGUAAAGAGCUCGUAGGCGGCUUGUCACGUCGGAUGUGAAAGCCCGAGGCUUAACCUCGGGUCUGCAUUCGAUACGGGCAGGCUAGAGUGUGGUAGGGGAGAUCGGAAUUCCUGGUGUAGCGGUGAAAUGCGCAGAUAUCAGGAGGAACACCGGUGGCGAAGGCGGAUCUCUGGGCCAUUACUGACGCUGAGGAGCGAAAGCGUGGGGAGCGAACAGGAUUAGAUACCCUGGUAGUCCACGCCGUAAACGGUGGGAACUAGGUGUUGGCGACAUUCCACGUCGUCGGUGCCGCAGCUAACGCAUUAAGUUCCCCGCCUGGGGAGUACGGCCGCAAGGCUAAAACUCAAAGGAAUUGACGG
Molecule: ribosomal RNA, 891 nt
Filed under: uncultured bacterium
Lineage: Bacteria
Description: bacterial SSU rRNA
Rfam family: Bacterial small subunit ribosomal RNA
Source: RNAcentral